RNAcentral lists this ribosomal RNA (482 nucleotides) under uncultured bacterium. RNAcentral's name for it is "partial 16S ribosomal RNA". It matches the Rfam family "Bacterial small subunit ribosomal RNA", at positions 30 to 507 of the family's 1533-position model. The record is from RNAcentral.
AUUGAACGCUGGCGGCAUGCUUUACACAUGCAAGUCGAACGGUAACAGGCCGCAAGGUGCUGACGAGUGGCGAACGGGUGAGUAAUGCAUCGGAACGUGCCCAGUCGUGGGGGAUAACUACUCGAAAGAGUAGCUAAUACCGCAUACGAUCUAUGGAUGAAAGCGGGGGACCGUAAGGCCUCGCGCGAUUGGAGCGGCCGAUGUCAGAUUAGGUAGUUGGUGGGGUAAAGGCUCACCAAGCCAACGAUCUGUAGCUGGUCUGAGAGGACGACCAGCCACACUGGGACUGAGACACGGCCCAGACUCCUACGGGAGGCAGCAGUGGGGAAUUUUGGACAAAGGGCGCAAGCCUGAUCCAGCAAUGCCGCGUGCGGGAAGAAGGCCUUCGGGUUGUAAACUGCUUUUGUACGGAACGAAACGGCUCUGGUUAAUACCCGGGGCUAAUGACGGUACCGUAAGAAUAAGCACCGGCUAACUACGUG